CCUACGGGUGGCAGCAGUGAGGAAUAUUGGUCAAUGGACGGAGGUCUGAACCAGCCAAGUAGCGUGCAGGAUUGACGGCCCUAUGGGUUGUAAACUGCUUUUGUUGGGGAGUAAAGUGGGGCACGCGUGCCUUUUUGCAUUUACCCUUCGAAUAAGGACCGGCUAAUUCCGUGCCAGCAGCCGCGGUAAUACGGAAGGUCCAGGCGUUAUCCGGAUUUAUUGGGUUUAAAGGGAGUGUAGGCGGUCUGUUAAGCGUGUUGUGAAAUUUAGGUGCUCAACAUCUACCUUGCAGCGCGAACUGGCGGACUUGAGUGCACGCAACGUAUGCGGAAUUCAUGGUGUAGCGGUGAAAUGCUUAGAUAUCAUGACGAACUCCGAUUGCGAAGGCAGCGUACGGGAGUGUUACUGACGCUUAAGCUCGAAGGUGCGGGUAUCGAACAGGAUUAGAUACCCUAGUAGUC
RNAcentral lists this ribosomal RNA (461 nucleotides) under uncultured Prevotella sp. RNAcentral describes it as "bacterial SSU rRNA". It matches the Rfam family "Bacterial small subunit ribosomal RNA", at positions 338 to 795 of the family's 1533-position model. The record is from RNAcentral. Lineage: Bacteria; Pseudomonadati; Bacteroidota; Bacteroidia; Bacteroidales; Prevotellaceae.